GGUAGUGUGGCCGAGCCGUAGGUGGCGAGUUGUAGCCUCGCCGACUGGGAUUUUACCCACGCUACCAAGCC
RNAcentral lists this transfer RNA (71 nucleotides) under Lygodactylus stevensoni (Stevenson's dwarf gecko). RNAcentral describes it as "tRNA-Tyr". The record is from RNAcentral. Lineage: Eukaryota; Metazoa; Chordata; Lepidosauria; Squamata; Gekkonidae.